RNAcentral lists this transfer RNA (90 nucleotides) under Candidatus Altimarinota bacterium. Its description in RNAcentral is "tRNA-Ser". It matches the Rfam family "tRNA". From Rfam's summary of the family: Transfer RNA (tRNA) molecules are approximately 80 nucleotides in length. Their secondary structure includes four short double-helical elements and three loops (D, anti-codon, and T loops). Further hydrogen bonds mediate the characteristic L-shaped molecular structure. tRNAs have two regions of fundamental functional importance: the anti-codon, which is responsible for specific mRNA codon recognition, and the 3' end, to which the tRNAs corresponding amino acid is attached (by aminoacyl-tRNA synthetases). tRNAs cope with the degeneracy of the genetic code in two manners: having more than one tRNA (with a specific anti-codon) for a particular amino acid; and 'wobble' base-pairing, i.e. permitting non-standard base-pairing at the 3rd anti-codon position. The record is from RNAcentral. Lineage: Bacteria; Candidatus Altimarinota.
GGAGAGAUGGCAGAGUGGUCUAAUGCGGCGGUCUUGAAAACCGCUGUGCCCGUAAGGGUGCCGGGGGUUCGAAUCCCUCUCUCUCCGCCA